This 958-nucleotide long non-coding RNA is filed under the name Populus tremula. RNAcentral's name for it is "long non-coding RNA (PTRE_LNC000005)". The record is from RNAcentral. Lineage: Eukaryota; Viridiplantae; Streptophyta; Magnoliopsida; Malpighiales; Salicaceae.
UUUUUAUUAUUAUUUACUUUUUUUCUUCUUUUUUUUCUACAUGCAAAACAAAUAACAAAAAUUAAAAAAUCAAGUACAAUUAAAAAUUACAAAAUAAACCCCAAAACUCCAGGAAGUUGCUGGGACCAUCCUCUGGGACUUCGCCGGAACAGUGGGGAACAGUGGCGGCGGGUGGACCUCACGCGCCGCCGUGAUAACACCGGAAAAGGUGGUCCGGCUCACCUUCUCCUCCUCUUCUCUUCUCUGCCGGUGGCGACCUGCAAAAUCAACCAAAAAACGCAACACAAGCAGUUGUUUUUCUGUGUUUUUUAGAUCUGUUUUUUAAUUUUUCGUUUUCUGUCCGUGGUUUAUUUUCGUUUCCCCCUUCGUUCUCUGUUUCAAGCGGCUGCUGGCGACUGGAAAGCUGUUGGCGAUCGUGCUCCUGUCGUGUCUGGUCGGCGGAGCUGGAGGAGGAAAAGGUGUUGGCUGAUCGUCGGCUGGUUUCUGUGGGCGCCGCCGUAUGAGGGCAGGUUGCUGUGGAUGAAGCCAGAGGAGGAGACGAUCUGGUUACCGGGGGUCUGGCGACUGUGUCCCCGUUCGGUUGUUGUGAGAAGACCGAAGAAGAAGAUGUCGGGCCUGCUGGGCAGGCUGUGAGAGAUCGGGAAAGAUGGAGACCGAAGGGGGAACAGCCGUUGCUGAUGGCGAAGGAGACGCUGCUUGGCUGAGAGCGAGAGGGUCUUGAUGGCUCUGAAAUGGCCGGCUAUGCAGGCAACAGCCAACCUUUGUUUCUAGGAGAACCGAGAGAGGGAGGCUGUGGAUUGGAGACGGCGCUGCUGGCUUACUGGCGGUGAAAACCGGCUAAAAGGAGAGUGAGGCAGAUGAAUGAGAGGGUGUCCGGUGCUCUCUGGUUCCUGGCCUCAAGAGAGAAGGAAGGGGAUGAGCAGCAGCUAGUUUCUGUGGGUGAGGAAAAGAAACCAAC